Molecule: ribosomal RNA, 525 nt
Filed under: uncultured bacterium
Lineage: Bacteria
Description: bacterial SSU rRNA
Rfam family: Bacterial small subunit ribosomal RNA
Source: RNAcentral
UGGGGAAUAUUGGACAAUGGGCGCAAGCCUGAUCCAGCCAUGCCGCGUGAGUGAUGAAGGCCCUAGGGUUGUAAAGCUCUUUUGUGCGGGAAGAUAAUGACGGUACCGCAAGAAUAAGCCCCGGCUAACUUCGUGCCAGCAGCCGCGGUAAUACGAAGGGGGCUAGCGUUGCUCGGAAUCACUGGGCGUAAAGGGUGCGUAGGCGGGUCUUUAAGUCAGGGGUGAAAUCCUGGAGCUCAACUCCAGAACUGCCUUUGAUACUGAGGAUCUUGAGUUCGGGAGAGGUGAGUGGAACUGCGAGUGUAGAGGUGAAAUUCGUAGAUAUUGGGAGGAACACCCGUGGCGAAGGCGACUCUCUGGACCAAUACUGACGCUGAGGCGCGAAAGCGUGGGGAGCAAACAGGAUUAGAUACCCUGGCAGUCCACGCUGUAAACGAUGAGCACUAGGUGUAGCGGGUAUUGACCCCUGCUGUGCCGUAGCUAACGCAUUAAGUGCUCCGCCUGGGGAGUACGGCCGCAAGGCUA